Molecule: long non-coding RNA, 202 nt
Filed under: Elaeis guineensis (African oil palm)
Lineage: Eukaryota; Viridiplantae; Streptophyta; Magnoliopsida; Arecales; Arecaceae
Description: long non-coding RNA (EGUI_LNC053820)
Source: RNAcentral
CCCGAAAGGCAUCCACCAGACGAUCCACGACCUCUGCGGCCAGAUAUCAGGCUCCGACCUCGCCUCCAAUUUUCCAGACUCUUCCUUGUCCUCCGACAACGACGGUCGAUAUGGAGCAGUUCGACCUACUGGUUCAGUAGGUCAGAGGCCUCACUGAAGCGGUACAGGCCAUGCAGCAGCAGCAGCAACAGCCACAAGUGUC